GGCGUACGCAACUCCUAUUCCUACCUCCUCGUGGUACUGGCCUGGGAACGAGUAACCUUGGGGAACAUCGGGUAACCAACUUUGGUAACUUUGGUCGUAUGCUGACAGGGACGG
RNAcentral lists this ribozyme (114 nucleotides) under Aedes aegypti (yellow fever mosquito). Its description in RNAcentral is "drz-agam-1 ribozyme". It matches the Rfam family "drz-agam-1 ribozyme". The record is from Rfam by way of RNAcentral. Lineage: Eukaryota; Metazoa; Arthropoda; Insecta; Diptera; Culicidae.